GGCAAGAUGGCCGAGCGGUCUAAGGCGCCACGUUAAGGUUAACCCUUAAUCCGAGUUAAACAACUCAGUUCCGUGGUCCGAAAGGGCGUGGGUUCGAAUCCCACUCUUGUCA
This is a transfer RNA of Sordaria macrospora k-hell, 112 nucleotides long. It matches the Rfam family "tRNA". Rfam says of the family: Transfer RNA (tRNA) molecules are approximately 80 nucleotides in length. Lineage: Eukaryota; Fungi; Ascomycota; Sordariomycetes; Sordariales; Sordariaceae. The record is from Rfam.